GCCAGGUGUGGUGGCUCACACCUGUAAUCCUAGCACUUUGGGAGGCUGAGGCAGGUGGAUCACCUGAGGUCAGGAGUUCGAGACCAGCCUGGCCAACAUGGCGAAACCCUGUCUCUA
This 117-nucleotide non-coding RNA is filed under the name Chlorocebus sabaeus (green monkey). Lineage: Eukaryota; Metazoa; Chordata; Mammalia; Primates; Cercopithecidae. The record is from Rfam by way of RNAcentral. RNAcentral also lists the same sequence under 1 other name.